CAUUAGAUUUUGGAUCUGCACCAAAAACACAAACUUGUUUAGCCCUGUAAUCUGAUCAUUAGGCACAACAAUGAACAGAGUUGCUUAAUGUACUUCCAACAGGGUUUAAUGUGGGCUAGGGGGUCAUUCAUUUCUGUAUCUUUGAUGUUUUGGGCAUUUUUUCUCUAUUCUUUACACUUUUUGACCAUUUAUCUCUAUUUGUUAUAUUCUAACACCUCAUUUUUUUCUCUUUUUUUGGUCCAUUUUUCUCUGUUCUUUAUAUUUUACACAUUCUCUAUUCUGUGAACCCAUAUCCACACCCUCUUGUACGUAGACCUUUACAUGUGUUAUGGUUG
Molecule: long non-coding RNA, 335 nt
Filed under: Mytilus galloprovincialis (Mediterranean mussel)
Lineage: Eukaryota; Metazoa; Mollusca; Bivalvia; Mytilida; Mytilidae
Source: RNAcentral